RNAcentral lists this non-coding RNA (96 nucleotides) under Saimiri boliviensis boliviensis (Bolivian squirrel monkey). Lineage: Eukaryota; Metazoa; Chordata; Mammalia; Primates; Cebidae. The record is from RNAcentral.
AUGUAGUUCGAUGGUAGUGUAUUAUCAGAACUUAUUAACAUUAGUAUCGUUAAAGUUGAUAUAAACCUCCCUACUGUUAAAUUUGACUGGCUUUAA